CCUACGGGAGGCAGCAGUAGGGAAUUUUGCGCAAUGGGCGAAACCCUGACGCAGCAACGCCGCGUGAUCGAUGAAGCCCUUCGGGGUGUAAAGCUCUGUCAGUGGGGACGAAACCUGACGGUACCCACAGAGGAAGCACCGGCUAACUCCGUGCCAGCAGCCGCGGUAAUAGGGGGGGUCCAAGCGUUGUCCGGAAUCAUUGGGGGUAAAGGGUUCGUAGGUGGCUCGUUAAGUCUGGUGUUAAAGGCGGAGGCUCAACUUCCGUAUGGCAUUGGAUACUGGCGGGCUUGAUUGCGGUAGAGGUAGAGGGAAUUCCUGGUGUAGCGGUGAAAUGCGUAGAUAUCAGGAGGAACAGCGGUGGCGUAGGCGCUUUACUGGGCCGUAAUUGACACUGAGGAACGAAAGCCGGGGUAGCAAAUGGGAUUAGAUACCCGUGUAGUC
This 441-nucleotide ribosomal RNA is filed under the name uncultured bacterium. Its description in RNAcentral is "partial 16S ribosomal RNA". It matches the Rfam family "Bacterial small subunit ribosomal RNA", at positions 338 to 795 of the family's 1533-position model. The record is from RNAcentral.